This 1454-nucleotide long non-coding RNA is filed under the name Sinocyclocheilus rhinocerous. RNAcentral's name for it is "lncRNA (ENSSRHG00000035658.1)". Lineage: Eukaryota; Metazoa; Chordata; Actinopteri; Cypriniformes; Cyprinidae. The record is from RNAcentral.
AUCUAAGCAGGGUUGUUGUUCAAACCUGCAAGUGUGUUUCAAAAUGUUUUCGUCAGGGCAAUUGUGUUACUGCCCCUUUUUUGGACAUCUGGUAGUGCUUAAAUGUGAGUAUAAAGCAGAGAUGAAGUGCACUUGGACUGCAGAAAGCAGCAGGAUGAAGAGUAAUGUGCAGCUAGGGCUGUUGUGUCUCAGCCUGCUCAUCUUCAGUCUUCAUGGAGAAGUUGUCGAGACAGAAUCGAGCAAACAAGUCCCCCCCUAUUUCGAAGAGCCGGAUCUUCAUCAGCUUGAGAUGUACAGAGUACGACGACAGACGGUCUCCACAGAGAAGGAAAAUCCAGCAAGAACAGUAGCUGUUUUGCCACCAAGUGAGAACCGCAAGACUAAGAGAACACGGCCACAUCCAGGAGGUCUCACUCCUUUAGGAGAACCAACGAUAUACGUCAAUCACCGCACCAAGAGACAGGAAAAAAGCAAGAAUAACAAAAGGAAAAUACGUCCCGGAAGUCAGAGCCUUUUACGGCCCCAGCAGACUGCCAAUGUCAAGAGGGAUGACGAAUGAAAAAGUUAAAGCAUUAUAUGCGUUCAAGGCUCCUUCCCAGGUUCCCUGAAUCAGGAAAAAAGGAAUAUAUCACCAUGUUUCAUAAAGAGGGUUUCAGGCUCAGGUUCUGCUUGUGAUAAUCAUUUAUAUUUCUAUAGCUUUUCUUUUCCACGUAUAUUUUGGUUAAGUAAUAAUCUCUAUGGAAAAUAAAAUGUAUUUACUGAAUUCUCCCCCGUGUGUAUUUCGUAUUCGCAUCACUAGGGGGCAAUGUUUACCCAAGAGAUGAGCGCUCAAACCAGCUUGGCUUCUGUUUAAACGAAAUGUUUGAUAUCUGUUUAUCUUCAUCUAUUAAUUACAAUAAAGCAUUUGUCUUGAAAUGUCACUCUUUUAUUGUGUGGAAAACACUGUAGUCGACGAAUGGCUUUCUAUAAAGUUUUGGCUGUACUGCGUUUUUUUGUGUUGAUACUGUCAAGCAUAAACAGUCUAUGUGUUGACAGAUUCUGUGAGAUAUAAACUGCAUAACUAUCACUCCUCUUUAGUAUUUGAGUAGUUCUGCCAGUUAAAUGUGCCAGAAAUUAUCCUGAAAAGGCAUACAAAAUGGUAGGCCUAUGUUUUGUGCCAGGAAUUUGUCAAAACACAUUGGCGGUCCAAAGCAAAGAGAAAAGCAACACCCCUUCUUCCUUAUCUGCAUAAUCCUUGAUAAUAACAUAAAACUAUUUCCUACACGUUUCACGCUGUUGUUAUUUAAGAAUCUAAAAUGUUCCGGGAAAAAAAAAAACCUUUUAUAUGAGAUGGCCAAUGUAAUAACAUCGCUUCACACAUGAGCCCCAAAAAAGUAACCACAAGCAACCAUGCAAAAGCAACAAUUUGCACUUACACAGGUAUGUAAAAUGUAAGUAGUGCAGAUGUAAGCCAG